UUCGUAUGGCGCUUUUUUUUCCCCCGAAAAUUCUAAUCUCGCGCUCUCGCUCCAGACCCAAACUCUAAAAUUCCAAUACCCACUCUCGCCCUGCCUCUCUCUCGCACUCUAGCUCCCUCUGUCUCUCUAUCUUUGGUUCUAUCCUGCCUCUCUUCCUAUUUCGCUAGGAGAUUAGCCAGUAAUCUCAACACCUCCUCUCGUCAUCUUUCUGUCUCUCUCUGUGUCUCUGUCUUUGGUUCUAUCUCUUCUAACGCAAACCCGCGCUUCCUCUCUCUCAUCCACAAACUCUCCAAAUCUCACAAAUAUUUCUGAGUUCAACACCAAAAUAGCAAGGUUUCGAUUUUUCCGUGAAUUUGCUAUAUGGAUCUCAGCUCUUUGGAAAAGGAUUCUAUCAAGUAUUGAAGGAGAAGAGCAAACACUUUGACGAAAAUGUGAGUGACAACAAGAGCUUGAUUAUCAAUGUUGAGUU
Molecule: non-coding RNA, 469 nt
Organism: Prunus avium (sweet cherry)
Lineage: Eukaryota; Viridiplantae; Streptophyta; Magnoliopsida; Rosales; Rosaceae
Source: RefSeq, a predicted model, not a curated record